GCUGGGUGUGGCAGCGCACUCCUGUAAUCUCAGCUACUUGAGAGGCUGAGGCAGGAGAAUCACUUGAACCCAGGAGGCGGAAGUUGCAGUGAGCUGAGAUCACGCCAUUGCACUCCAGCCUGGGUGAUAGAGUGAGACUCUGACUCUA
RNAcentral lists this small RNA (148 nucleotides) under Papio anubis (olive baboon). Its description in RNAcentral is "Metazoan signal recognition particle RNA (ENSPANG00000040330.1)". The record is from Rfam by way of RNAcentral. Lineage: Eukaryota; Metazoa; Chordata; Mammalia; Primates; Cercopithecidae.